CCACUUCCACUGAUAUAUUAAGAGCAUAUGAUUGCUUCAGAAAGGCAAGUUCUAUGGUUCAUGAGGAGAUUCAGUAUCUUCGUGUGCCCAUGGGUUGCAACAUGAGUUUGAAAUUGUGAGGAAGAGAAUGGAUGCUGAAGCAAAGAAAGCAUAUAAGUUACUUGACCAACUUCCAUAUCUGCACAAGACAUGUCUAAUGAUCUGCAAUUCUACUCAGUUAUGGAUGCCAGCUCCACCUCUGAAAAAAAAGGAAGGUCAAAGCAUUGGCUACUACACCAAACACCAGACUUCAAUACAAUUCAAAGAGCUGCAGCACCGUUGCUAAUAUAGUUUGUGCUGACAUACUGGUAAAGAAAGCAUAUAAAGAGUGGAUGCAUGAUGUAGGAUAUGAUCGUAAGACACUCCAGAGCUUCAAGCAUAAUCUGUCGCAAGUGAUAGAGCAGCAGCUUCAACAAUUAACCAUGCUUCAAAUGGUUCAAUCAAUGCACACAAACAAUUAUUUGCGGAACAUCUAGCCAAACUUCCGCGCGUACUACAAGGUUUUCGCAUGUCCAGUCAAGUCAUCUCAACCUAAGGAUCCAAGACAAGGAAGAAAACCACGAAUCUGCCGACGUUAGUCCUCAGAGAGGCCAUGUUUAGAGCUACUAAUCUACCUUCAGUCUCUAGGAAUAAAGACUUCUAUUAUACUGUAGUAUUAAGUGCCCACCAGGAAAAUAAAUUACUUUGUCGUGCUACUAUGUUCUUUAUCAUACUCUGUUUCUUA
Lolium perenne is the source of this 763-nucleotide non-coding RNA. The record is from RefSeq and is a predicted model, not a curated record. Lineage: Eukaryota; Viridiplantae; Streptophyta; Magnoliopsida; Poales; Poaceae.